Molecule: small nucleolar RNA, 125 nt
Filed under: Genlisea aurea
Lineage: Eukaryota; Viridiplantae; Streptophyta; Magnoliopsida; Lamiales; Lentibulariaceae
Description: Small nucleolar RNA snoR77
Rfam family: Small nucleolar RNA snoR77
Source: Rfam by way of RNAcentral
AGGCAACUCCCUUGCGCUCAUUUUGUUUAGCGAAGGCGGGUGUUAAUCUGCUCGUAUAUAGAUGCUUGAGCUCUUCAGACUUGCUGAUAUCCCCGUGAAGCUUGUCUAGUAAGCUCAAGAACAUA